CCUACGGGUGGCAGCAGUGAGGAAUAUUGGUCAAUGGACGCAAGUCUGAACCAGCCAUGCCGCGUGCAGGACGACGGCUCUAUGCGUUGUAAACUUCUUUUGUCCAGGGAUAAAAUCAGUUACGUGUGUCUGUCUGAGGGUAUCUCAUGAAUAAGGAUCGGCUAACUCCGUGCCAGCAGCCGCGGUAAUACGGAGGAUUCGAGCGUUAUCCGGAUUUAUUGGGUUUAAAGGGUGCGUAGGCGGGCGUGUAAGUGAGCGGUGAAAUGCCGGGGCUCAACCUCGGCGGUGCGGUGGAGACUGGCUGGCUUGAGAGGACUGGAGGUAUGCGGAAUGCGUGGUGUAGCGGUGAAAUGCUUAGAUAUUACACAGAACACCGAUUGCGAAGGCAGCAUAC
Molecule: ribosomal RNA, 394 nt
Filed under: uncultured bacterium
Lineage: Bacteria
Description: partial 16S ribosomal RNA
Rfam family: Bacterial small subunit ribosomal RNA
Source: RNAcentral